UCCAGUGCAAAAAGAAGAGCUGCAAUUCCCC
RNAcentral lists this non-coding RNA (31 nucleotides) under Mus musculus (house mouse). Lineage: Eukaryota; Metazoa; Chordata; Mammalia; Rodentia; Muridae. The record is from RNAcentral.